This 590-nucleotide long non-coding RNA is filed under the name Panax ginseng (ginseng). Its description in RNAcentral is "long non-coding RNA (PGIN_LNC015557)". Lineage: Eukaryota; Viridiplantae; Streptophyta; Magnoliopsida; Apiales; Araliaceae. The record is from RNAcentral.
UUCAGAGUGAGCAAGUCAUCCAUGGGAAGUUAAUUCAUCAUCUGAAAUAUCCAUGAUUUGGUUCAAGGAUUUCUAAACGCUGCAUUGCCCUUAUUGAGAUUACUUUGAAGCAGCACAACAGAAGCUGUAUGGGUACUGAUUGCAAAACAAAUGUCUAAGCAUCCAAAGGAUUCUUCAGAGCGACAUAAUCCAGUUUAUGUCCUUAAUAUUAAAGCUAAUAUUCCUCCAAGAAUAGAAAGUUAGGUAUAACCCAAUUUUAAUUUGUGUCGAAUUGUCAAUGUUAUCCAUUAUUAAUGUGGUGUAGCCAUGUAGGUAUGUAUUUACAACCUUAAUUCUUGAAAUGUUAUGGCAGGAUCUAUUCGAUCAUUCCUCCUUGUGAGCUACUGUUAAAACUGUAUAGCUGAAGCCAUAAUUAGCUCAACACCCACCUUACAAAGCCAAUGCCUUGCUGCAAAUCCAGGAAAGGGUAGGGUCAUCAUUAACAAACAAGUACAUAGAAUAUGCCCAUGGAUAUUGUUUUGGCUCCCUCAUGAGAAUUGUAUCUAUGACAGAAAAUAAGGUUCUUUUGGAAUAUUCCUAUUUCCUCGUCC